RNAcentral lists this ribosomal RNA (284 nucleotides) under uncultured bacterium. Its description in RNAcentral is "partial 16S ribosomal RNA". It matches the Rfam family "Bacterial small subunit ribosomal RNA", at positions 337 to 639 of the family's 1533-position model. The record is from RNAcentral.
UCCUACGGGAGGCAGCAGUAGGGAAUCUUUCACAAUGGGCGAAAGCCUGAUGGAGCAACGCCGCGUGCAGGAUGAAGGCCUUCGGGUUGUAGACUGCUUUUAUAAGCGAGAAAUAUGAUGGUAACUUAUGAAUAAGGAUCGGCUAACUACGUGCCAGCAGACGCGGUAAUACGUAGGUGGCGAGCGUUAUCCGGAAUGAUUGGGCGUAAAGGGUGCGUAGGCGGCCUGCUAAGUCUGGAGUGAAAGGUACCGGCUCAACCGGUACAGGCUCUGGAAACUGGCGG